This 719-nucleotide ribosomal RNA is filed under the name uncultured bacterium. Its description in RNAcentral is "bacterial SSU rRNA". It matches the Rfam family "Bacterial small subunit ribosomal RNA", at positions 771 to 1490 of the family's 1533-position model. The record is from RNAcentral.
AACAGGAUUAGAUACCCUGGUAGUCCACGCCGUAAACGAUGUCGACUUGGAGGUUGUUCCCUUGAGGAGUGGCUUCCGGAGCUAACGCGUUAAGUCGACCGCCUGGGGAGUACGGCCGCAAGGUUAAAACUCAAAUGAAUUGACGGGGGCCCGCACAAGCGGUGGAGCAUGUGGUUUAAUUCGAUGCAACGCGAAGAACCUUACCUACUCUUGACAUCCACGGAAUUCGGCAGAGAUGCCUUAGUGCCUUCGGGAACCGUGAGACAGGUGCUGCAUGGCUGUCGUCAGCUCGUGUUGUGAAAUGUUGGGUUAAGUCCCGCAACGAGCGCAACCCUUAUCCUUUGUUGCCAGCGAUUCGGUCGGGAACUCAAAGGAGACUGCCGGUGAUAAACCGGAGGAAGGUGGGGAUGACGUCAAGUCAUCAUGGCCCUUACGAGUAGGGCUACACACGUGCUACAAUGGCGCAUACAAAGAGAAGCGACCUCGCGAGAGCAAGCGGACCUCAUAAAGUGCGUCGUAGUCCGGAUCGGAGUCUGCAACUCGACUCCGUGAAGUCGGAAUCGCUAGUAAUCGUGGAUCAGAAUGCCACGGUGAAUACGUUCCCGGGCCUUGUACACACCGCCCGUCACACCAUGGGAGUGGGUUGCAAAAGAAGUAGGUAGCUUAACCUUCGGGAGGGCGCUUACCACUUUGUGAUUCAUGACUGGGGUGAAGUCGUA